UACGUAGGGGGCAGGCGUUGUUCGGAAUGACUGGGCGUAAAGGGUGCGUAGGCGGUGUAGCAAGUUAGAAGUGAAGUACCUAGAGCUUAACUCAGGUGCUGCUUCUAAAACUGCUAUACCUGAGUGCAGUAGAGGAAAGUGGAAUUCCUAGUGUAGCGGUGAAAUGCAUAGAUAUCACGCAGAACUCCGAUUGCGAAGGCAGCGUACCAGCAUCCAACUGACGCUGAGGCACGAAAGCGUGGGGAUCAAACAGG
RNAcentral lists this ribosomal RNA (254 nucleotides) under uncultured bacterium. RNAcentral describes it as "partial 16S ribosomal RNA". It matches the Rfam family "Bacterial small subunit ribosomal RNA", at positions 524 to 776 of the family's 1533-position model. The record is from RNAcentral.